This 106-nucleotide ribosomal RNA is filed under the name uncultured bacterium. RNAcentral describes it as "partial 16S ribosomal RNA". It matches the Rfam family "Bacterial small subunit ribosomal RNA", at positions 1379 to 1482 of the family's 1533-position model. The record is from RNAcentral.
CCUUGUACACACCGCCCGUCAAGCCACGGAAGUUGACAGUACCCGAAGUCGUGCACCCCAACCGCAAGGAGGGGAAGCGCCCACGGUAAGGUCGAUGACUGGGACU